RNAcentral lists this ribosomal RNA (405 nucleotides) under uncultured bacterium. RNAcentral describes it as "bacterial SSU rRNA". It matches the Rfam family "Bacterial small subunit ribosomal RNA", at positions 355 to 774 of the family's 1533-position model. The record is from RNAcentral.
UGGGGAAUAUUGCGCAAUGGGGGAAACCCUGACGCAGCAACGCCGCGUGAAGGAUGAAGGUUUUCGGAUCGUAAACUUCUUUGAUGAGGGACGAACAAAAUGACGGUACCUCAAAAACAAGCCACGGCUAACUACGUGCCAGCAGCCGCGGUAAUACGUAGGUGGCGAGCGUUGUCCGGAAUUACUGGGUGUAAAGGGCGUGUAGGCGGGGAUGUAAGUCAGAUGUGAAAUUCCAUGGCUCAACUGUGGGGCUGCAUCUGAAACUAUGUCUCUUGAGUGCCGGAGAGGGAAGCGGAAUUCCUAGUGUAGCGGUGAAAUGCGUAGAGAUUAGGAGGAACACCAGUGGCGAAGGCGGCCUGCGGGGCUUUUACUGACGCUGAGGCACGAAAGCAUGGGUAGCAAACA